UACGGGAGGCAGCAGUGGGGAAUAUUGCACAAUGGGCGAAAGCCUGAUGCAGCUAUGCCGCGUGUAUGAAGAAGGCCUUAGGGUUGUAAAGUACUUUCAUCGGGGAGGAAAAAACAAACUAAUAAUUUUAUUUCUUGACGUUACCCGAAAAAGAAGCACCGGCUAACUCCGUGCCAGCAGCCGCGGUAAUACGGAGGGUGCUAGCGUUAAUCAGAAUUACUGGGCGUAAGAAGCACGUAGGUGGUUUUUUUAAGUUCAGAUGUGAAAUACCCUCGGGCGUUAACCUAGGAACUGCAUUUUGUAAACUGAAAUACUAGAGUAUCGUAGAGGGAGGUAGAAUUCUAGGUGUAGCGGUGAAAUGCGUAGAUAUCUGGAGGAAUACCUGUGGCGAAAGCGGCCUCCUAAACGAAUACUGACACUGAGGUGCGAAAGCGUGGGGAGCAAACAGGGAUUAGAUACC
Molecule: ribosomal RNA, 460 nt
Filed under: uncultured bacterium
Lineage: Bacteria
Description: bacterial SSU rRNA
Rfam family: Bacterial small subunit ribosomal RNA
Source: RNAcentral